UGUAAGCGUAUACCAAAGUUGUUGCAGUUAAAACGCUCGUAGUCGGAAUUUGGCAGUUCCGGAUGUGUGCACGUCGUGUGCGCACUUCGCGGGGAUUGCUUUUGUGGUCUUGCGUAGGAUGAGGCACUUUUAUUAGUGAACGUCCUCACGCAACCACUUUUUACUGUGAGAAAAUCAGAGUGCUCAAAGCAGGCAUUUGCCGUGAAUGUAUUAGCAUGGAAUAAUAGAAUAGGACUUGGUUCUAUUUUGUUGGUUUGUUGGGACUGAGUAAUGAUUAAGAGGGACAGUUGGGCGCAUUUGUAUUUCGGUGCUAGAGGUGAAAUUCUUAGAUUACCGAAAGACAAACUGCUGCGAAAGCGUCUGCCAAGGAUGUUUUCAUUGA
This 382-nucleotide ribosomal RNA is filed under the name uncultured eukaryote. RNAcentral's name for it is "partial 18S ribosomal RNA". It matches the Rfam family "Eukaryotic small subunit ribosomal RNA", at positions 592 to 976 of the family's 1831-position model. The record is from RNAcentral.